AGCAGCCGCGGUAAUUCCAGCUCCAAUAGCGUAUAUUAAAGUUGUUGUGGUCAAAAAGCUCGUAGUUGAACCUUGGGCCUGGCUGGCCGGUCCGCCUCACCGCGUGUACUGGUCCGGCCGGGCCUUUCCCUCUGUGGAACCCCAUGCCCUUCACUGGGUGUGGCGGGGAAACAGGACUUUUACUGUGAAAAAUUAGAGUGCUCCAGGCAGGCCUAUGCUCGAAUACAUUAGCAUGGAAUAAUAGAAUAGGACGUGUGGUUCUAUUUUGUUGGUUUCUAGGACCGCCGUAAUGAUUAAUAGGGACAGUCGGGGGCAUCAGUAUUCAAUUGUCAGAGGCGAAAUUCUUGGAUUUAUUGAAGACUAACUACUGCGAAAGCAUUUGCCAAGGAUGUUUUCAUUAAUCAGGAACGAAAGUUAGGGGAUCGAAGACGAUCAGAUACCGUCGUAGUCUUAACCAUAAACUAUGCCGACUAGGGAUCGGGACAGUGUUAUAUUUUGACCCGUUCGGCACCUUACGGGA
RNAcentral lists this small RNA (520 nucleotides) under uncultured Paraglomus. RNAcentral describes it as "SSU rRNA". It matches the Rfam family "Eukaryotic small subunit ribosomal RNA", at positions 569 to 1095 of the family's 1831-position model. The record is from RNAcentral. Lineage: Eukaryota; Fungi; Glomeromycota; Glomeromycetes; Paraglomerales; Paraglomeraceae.